RNAcentral lists this ribosomal RNA (508 nucleotides) under uncultured bacterium. RNAcentral describes it as "partial 16S ribosomal RNA". It matches the Rfam family "Bacterial small subunit ribosomal RNA", at positions 28 to 507 of the family's 1533-position model. The record is from RNAcentral.
GACGAACGCUGGCGGCGUGCCUAAUACAUGCAAGUCGAACGCUUCUUUCCUCCCGAGUGCUUGCACUCAAUUGGAAAGAGCAGUGGCGGACGGGUGAGUAACACGUCGGUAACCUACCCAUCAGAGGGGGAUAACACUUGGAAACAGGUGCUAAUACCGCAUAACAGUUUAUGCCGCAUGGCAUAAGAGUGAAGGGCGCUUUCGGGUGUCGCUGAUGGAUGGACCCGCGGUGCAUUAGCUAGUUGGUGAGGUAACGGCUCACCAAGGCCACGAUGCAUAGCCGACCUGAGAGGGUGAUCGGCCACACUGGGACUGAGACACGGCCCAGACUCCUGCGGGAGGCAGCAGUAGGGAAUCUUCGGCAAUGGACGAAUGUCUGACCGAGCAACGCCGCGUGAGUGAAGAAGGUUUUCGGAUCGUAAAACUCUGUUGUUAGAGAAGAACAAGGACGUUAGUAACUGAACGUCCCCUGACGGUAUCUAACCAGAAAGCCACGGCUAACUACGUG